GACGAACGCUGGCGGCGUGCUUAACACAUGCAAGUCGAACGGAAAGGCCCUGCUUUUGUGGGGUGCUCGAGUGGCGAACGGGUGAGUAACACGUGAGUAACCUGCCCUCGUCUUUGGGGUAAAUUCAGUAAACUGGGGCUCAUACCGGAUAGGUGCUCCUGCUGCAUGGUGGGGGUUGGAAAGUUUCGGCGGUUGGGGAUGGUCUCGCGGCUUAUCAGCUUGUUGGUGGGGUAGUGGCUUACCAAGUGUUUGACGGGUAGUCGGCCUGCGGGGGUGACCGGCCACAUUGGGACUGAGAUACGGCCCAGACGCCUACGGGAGGCAGCAGUGGGGAAUAUUGCACAAUGGGCGGAAGCCUGAUGCAGCAGCGCCGCGUGCGGGAUGACGGCCUUCGGGUUGUAAACCGCUUUCGCCUGUGACGAAGCGUGAGUGACGGUAAUGGGUAAAGAAGCACCGGCUAACUACGUG
RNAcentral lists this ribosomal RNA (468 nucleotides) under uncultured bacterium. RNAcentral describes it as "partial 16S ribosomal RNA". It matches the Rfam family "Bacterial small subunit ribosomal RNA", at positions 28 to 507 of the family's 1533-position model. The record is from RNAcentral.